ACCCUCCAGGUCCCGCAGCCCUCAGAUCUAAAUAUUGGUCUGAGUCAAUAAAGAAGGCAGAAGAGUAAAACUGAACUGGACUUAGACUCUUUUAAUGACGUAUACGUUCAUUUCAAACAAAC
RNAcentral lists this small nucleolar RNA (122 nucleotides) under Echinops telfairi (small Madagascar hedgehog). RNAcentral describes it as "Small nucleolar RNA SNORA61 (ENSETEG00000026315.1)". Lineage: Eukaryota; Metazoa; Chordata; Mammalia; Afrosoricida; Tenrecidae. The record is from RNAcentral.